RNAcentral lists this ribosomal RNA (506 nucleotides) under uncultured bacterium. RNAcentral's name for it is "partial 16S ribosomal RNA". It matches the Rfam family "Bacterial small subunit ribosomal RNA", at positions 29 to 523 of the family's 1533-position model. The record is from RNAcentral.
AUUGAACGCUGGCGGCAUGCCUUACACAUGCAAGUCGAACGGCAGCAUGGAGAGCUUGCUCUCUGAUGGCGAGUGGCGAACGGGUGAGUAAUGCAUCGGAACGUACCGUGUAAUGGGGGAUAACGUAGCGAAAGUUACGCUAAUACCGCAUACGACCUGAGGGUGAAAGCAGGGGAUCGCAAGACCUUGCGUUAUACGAGCGGCCGAUGUCAGAUGAUAGCUAGUUGGGGAGGUAACGGCUCACCAAGGCGACGACCUGUAGCGGGUCUGAGAGGAUGAGCCGCCACACUGGGACGGAGACACGGCCCAGGAUCCUUCGGGAGGCAGGAGUGGGGAAGUGUGGAAGAGGGGAGCAACCCUGACCCAGCCAUGCCGCGUGAGUAAAGAAGGCCUUCGGGUUGUAAAGCUCUUUCGGCCGGGAAGAAAUCGCACCGGCUAAUACUCUGUGUGCAUGACGGUCCCGGCAUAAGACGCACCGGCUAACUACGUGCCAGCAGCCGCCGUAA